Molecule: ribosomal RNA, 847 nt
Filed under: uncultured Flavobacteriaceae bacterium
Lineage: Bacteria; Pseudomonadati; Bacteroidota; Flavobacteriia; Flavobacteriales; Flavobacteriaceae
Description: bacterial SSU rRNA
Rfam family: Bacterial small subunit ribosomal RNA
Source: RNAcentral
ACGCUAGCGGCAGGCCUAACACAUGCAAGUCGAGGGGUAACAGAGAGAAGCUUGCUUUUCUGCUGACGACCGGCGCACGGGUGCGUAACGCGUAUACAAUCUGCCUUAUACAGAGGGAUAGCCUUUAGAAAUGAAGAUUAAUACCUUAUAGUCUAUUUUUAUAGCAUUAUUUAAAUAGUAAAGCUUCGGUGGUAUAAGAUGAGUAUGCGUCCUAUUAGUUAGUUGGUAAGGUAACGGCUUACCAAGACAACGAUAGGUAGGGGCCCUGAGAGGGGGAUCCCCCACACUGGUACUGAGACACGGACCAGACUCCUACGGGAGGCAGCAGUGAGGAAUAUUGGACAAUGGAGGCAACUCUGAUCCAGCCAUGCCGCGUGCAGGAAGACGGCCCUAUGGGUUGUAAACUGCUUUUAUAUAGGAAGAAACCUUUUCACGUGUGAGAAGCUGACGGUACUAUAAGAAUAAGGACCGGCUAACUCCGUGCCAGCAGCCGCGGUAAUACGGAGGGUCCGAGCGUUAUCCGGAAUCAUUGGGUUUAAAGGGUCCGUAGGCGGGAAUCUAAGUCAGUGGUGAAAUCUUGCAGCUCAACUGUAAAAUUGCCAUUGAUACUGGAUUUCUUGAAUUAGUGUGAAGUGGUUAGAAUGUGUAGUGUAGCGGUGAAAUGCAUAGAUAUUACACAGAAUACCAAUUGCGAAGGCAGAUCACUAACACUAUAUUGACGCUGAGGGACGAAAGCGUGGGGAGCGAACAGGAUUAGAUACCCUGGUAGUCCACGCCGUAAACGAUGGAUACUAGCUGUUCGAUCUUCGGAUUGAGUGGCUAAGCGAAAGUGAUAAGUAUCCCACCU